CGGGGUCAACAAUAGUGGCAGUUCUACACCACGACCGCCGCUGAUUAACGCGAAUAGAGUGCGAGGCCGGGUGGGUUAUGGCUAGCGUAAUUCUCUUGACUUUAAUAAUUUCACAUUGACAAAGACAAUAUCUACACAGCGCAGUUGCUCAUUCGCUUCGAGCUUUAUAUCGAAAAUGUACAAGGAGGUUGACACACGCAUUUAAAGAAUAUAUAAGUACAAAGCUACACAAUUCCUGUGAACAGAGUCAUGACUGGGCGCUUCUGCUUGGCAACGAAUCCGAGCAUUAGAAUUUCGCCGUUGCUGUUGAAAAGUGACUGCUCAAAUAGAAGUUAGGCGGCGCUCGAAAUCGAGAUAGAAACACUAAAGCUGUGUAGGUGUGAAUUGUUUUUUAAAACGUUCUAAAACGUGUGGCUUGGGGGAAUACAAUUUUCUAUUGAACAUUGUUCCAGCAGCAGUGAAGUACACGGUGCGAGAAGAGAAGAAACGCGGCAACGCGUUGGUGGGAGCCAAAGAAAGAUGCGUGGAGUAGCUACAUUGACCUUCCUGCAUGCUCUCCGCGUUUAGGUUUGUACUACCCGUAAGAGGCCAGGAAGUUCAACCAGCAGCAAUGCGAGCUACCACUACCGAUCAGCUGCUCGCUCUGAUGAAGUCACUGCAAAAGCAUUGCAGAUGGAACGAGAAAGUCGGAUUGUGUAGCAACAGCUGUGCGGAGUGGAAAUGCGAGUACCUUUUUACCGGUUGGCCCAAACAAUGCCACUUCGCCUGCAAGAGCGGAUGUUUCUGCCGUUGGGGAUUCUAUCGAGAUCACAGGGGAUAUUGCGUUGGUCCUCUGAGGUGCCUCUACAACAGAAAGCUCUACACGUCCAGUCGCCGAGUGUGACAACUGCAGCGAGAUACCAACACUCAUUGCAUGCGUCCGCGUACCAUGCAGCGAAUAAACCUCUGGUAAUUUUCGACCCCAGAAAAUAAAACAAAA
Molecule: long non-coding RNA, 979 nt
Filed under: Dermacentor andersoni
Lineage: Eukaryota; Metazoa; Arthropoda; Arachnida; Ixodida; Ixodidae
Description: uncharacterized LOC126525767
Source: RNAcentral